AGUCACUGACAUUAGAUACCCGUGUAGUCCAGGGUGUAAACGUUGCAGACUUGGUGUUGGAAGCCCUUUGGGGGCAUUCAGUGCCGGGGAGAAGUUGUUAAGUCUGCUACUUGGGAGUACGUCCGCAAGGAUGAAACUUAAAGGAAUUGGCGGGGGAGCACCGCAACGGGAGGAGCGUGCGGUUUAAUUGGAUUCAACACCGUAAACUCACCAGGGAAGACUGUUACAUGAAGGCCGAGAUGAAGACUCUGCUAGAUUUUCAG
RNAcentral lists this ribosomal RNA (263 nucleotides) under uncultured archaeon. RNAcentral describes it as "partial 16S ribosomal RNA". It matches the Rfam family "Archaeal small subunit ribosomal RNA", at positions 717 to 982 of the family's 1478-position model. The record is from RNAcentral.